RNAcentral lists this ribosomal RNA (253 nucleotides) under uncultured bacterium. RNAcentral's name for it is "partial 16S ribosomal RNA". It matches the Rfam family "Bacterial small subunit ribosomal RNA", at positions 524 to 776 of the family's 1533-position model. The record is from RNAcentral.
UACGGGGGGGGCAAGCGUUGUUCGGAAUUACUGGGCGUAAAGGGCUCGUAGGUGGCCAACUAAGUCAGACGUGAAAUCCCUCGGCUUAACCGGGGAACUGCGUCUGAUACUGGGUGGCUUGAGUUUGGGAGAGGGACGCGGAAUUCCAGGUGUAGCGGUGAAAUGCGUAGAUAUCUGGAGGAACACCGGUGGCGAAGGCGGCGUCCUGGACCAACACUGACACUGAGGAGCGAAAGCCAGGGGAGCAAACAGG